CGGUCAGUCGAGCUAUCACUUUUAAAACUGCACGUCGUCCCGGCGGCUAUCAUAAUAUACUACUCUGUAAUUAUAUAGUUCGACUCGUAUUAAAAUUAUAUUGGUUACCGAAAAUCCUUAGCACUGUUUUGUUGUACUUUCUGCUAAAAAAAUUGCAUCCUCGCACCACCGGAACGAAUGAAACGACCCGUACGAGCACGACGACUCGCACGGGCGCAACAACCGGUGGCUGCGGCGUCGCGGUCAUAAUUUUGAUUGAAGAAACGCCCGGUGAAUGACAACUAAUGUAUCUAAUGUGUACGUCUACUCGAGGUGAUUAGUAUUUCCAUUUGCAAACAUUGAAACUACUUCACUUCGUUCGUCGCGAGGACCAUUUUAUACGGGGCGGUGUACGAGUCACUGUCGUCGAAUUGUCACGGGCGUUUGUGUGCCGUUGUCAACAACGCACGCGCCGUCCGUAGUGGGCAGGCAUCGUGUUCGACUUUUGUGUUCCACUCUUCUACAUGUCCGUAGCCGUCGUCGCCGUCGCCGUGUCGCCGGAGCAGUUGUUGCCGUCGUGAUAAACUGUUACGCCGACGCCGACCCGCGCCGUGAUAUUCACCAUGCGGAUAACAUUGUAAUAUAACUCUACUACUAUUGAACAUUAUUAUUAUUAUUAUUAUUUUUUUUUUCUACGCAGUAUCGACAGAUAUGCGGAGUACAAGACGUUGCCGUUAUUAAUAUUAUUACUAUGAGUAUUGACGUAAACUAUUAUUUUGACAUCGGUUGUGAUAUUAACUAUUUGGAGCGGUGAUGCUGCGAUACUCUUAUCCAAUGAAUUUAUUAUUAUUAUUAUGGUAUUACUAUUUUCUGCAACAAUACGUAACUCCUCUAUGUACCGACUAGACAAGUUUGUUGCCGGAGCAAGAAAAUAGGUAAAACAAUUGAGGAGCUAAAAAUACAUAGUGACAUUUAUGUAUUAAAACUACGCUCAGAAUAUAAAUAAGAGCUGAUACUGCUAAAUGUUUAUGAAUACGUCACUAUUGUAGAUGACAAGUUGAAAAGGUAGGGUGCAUUAAGUUUUUUAGUUGAUAUAUAUUAUAUAUGAAACGAUAAAUGGGAAAUAAAACUGGAAAGUGCCGAAAUGCCUAUAAAUGACUAAAAAAGGACAAAAUAUUUUUAAAUUUGCCCACGUCAAAAAAGGUUAUACAAAUAUCAAGUUUGCGAAUAACAAAAAGAAACAAAAUCGAAAUAAUUAAACGUUAACUUUCAGAAGUUUUUCCUGUUUUCCUUAAUUUUUAAGAAAACUACUCAAUCCGUAAACAAGUUAUCAUUUUAUUUCAGAAAACAUAUAUAUAUAUUUAUUUUUUCUGAUAUUGGACCCUUGCAUCAAGCCAGAAAUUUACUUUUUUUAAUUUAUGGGUUUUUUUAUUUCAUAUUCAUUCACUUCACACGGUUAUUAAGUUUUAUUAUUAACUAAUAUUUUAUUAGUUACCUUCAGAUUAUAGACCUUCUGACGCAAUCAUGAUUUUUUAUUUUUUUUAUGUAUAAAUAAAUAAAUAAAUUGUUCUGUAGCAUAUAUUUAUAACGCAUAAAUACAUACGCUUAUAUAGUAGAAUUAUCUUUCUGAUCAAUAAACGCCAAUUUUUAUCAAAAGUUGCGAAUUUCCGAUCAAAUCGGUUUAUUCAAAAUGAUUUUUAUUCACUUGAUAAAUGCCUAACCAGUACGGUACAGUACAGUAUAUAAUGUAAUCACCAAUUCAUAAUGUUAUACGAUGUUUACUGAUUGUACUGAUACUGGUCGUGUGUCUGCAGAGAAAAUCCAGGGGUGGGGCGAAAUUAUAUUUUGCAAAACGGACAAACACAUAUUAUACAACUAUGCAUAAUUAUUACCCAAAUUAUAUUUUAUCAGACUAUAAUUUGCAAGUGAAUGAAAUAUUGAAUUUGAAUAUAAUGCAAUAUCUGAGAAAAAUAUGGUUUGAUAAUAACAUAAUAUGUAUAACAUGAUUAAUAUAAUAACAUUAUAUUUACAAACGAAAAAUUCCGCAUAUAAUUAUUAUAAUAAUAUAUUAUUUACGCACGUCCAUUUUACAAAUUAAAAUUAAAAUUAUGCCUAUUGUAGACAAAACGAAAAAAAAUUAUGUAUAUCUAUAAUAUAUAAGGAGCCCAAAUCGUGUAUACCUGACGACGAGUAGUUUUAGUAUCCACGAGUGUUUCUAAAUAUUUACGUAUUCGUAGUUAUAUGCAUACCAUUCGACACAACAAGUCUAGUUAUUUUUUCAACAUAAUUACAAUAUAAUUUAUCAUAUUUCUAACUGUUUAUUCGACCGUUUUUACACACCCUUGCAUCCUACAAAUGACGC
Cinara cedri is the source of this 2341-nucleotide non-coding RNA. NCBI's taxonomy places the organism in Eukaryota, Metazoa, Arthropoda, Insecta, Hemiptera, Aphididae. The record is from the annotation of a GenBank genome assembly.